AGGACGAACGCUGGCGGCGUGCUUAACACAUGCAAGUCGAACGGUGAAGGAGAGCUUGCUCUCUGGAUCAGUGGCGAACGGGUGAGUAACACGUGAGUAACCUGCCCUUGACUCUGGGAUAAGCGUUGGAAACGACGUCUAAUACCGGAUACGAGCUUCAGUCGCAUGGCUAGGAGCUGGAAAGAUUUCGGUCAAGGAUGGACUCGCGGCCUAUCAGCUAGUUGGUGAGGUAAUGGCUCACCAAGGCGACGACGGGUAGCCGGCCUGAGAGGGUGACCGGCCACACUGGGACUGAGACACGGCCCAGACUCCUACGGGAGGCAGCAGUGGGAAUAUUGCACAAUGGGCGCAAGCCUGAUGCAGCAACGCCGCGUGAGGACGAAGGCCUUCGGUGUAAACCGUCGUUUAGUAGGAAGAAGCGAAGUGACGGUACCUGCAGAAAAGCAACCGGCUAACUACGUGACCAGCAGCCGCGUAA
Molecule: ribosomal RNA, 478 nt
Filed under: uncultured soil bacterium
Lineage: Bacteria
Description: bacterial SSU rRNA
Rfam family: Bacterial small subunit ribosomal RNA
Source: RNAcentral